Molecule: non-coding RNA, 30 nt
Filed under: Mus musculus (house mouse)
Lineage: Eukaryota; Metazoa; Chordata; Mammalia; Rodentia; Muridae
Source: RNAcentral
UGGGCUCUUCAGAAUUCCCGGUGUCAUUUC